AUUCCAGCUCCAAUAGCGUAUAUUAAAGUUGUUGCGGUUAAAAAGCUCGUAGUUGGAUUUCUGCCGAGGACGACCGGUCCGCCCUCUGGGUGCGUAUCUGGCUCGGCCUGGGCAUCUUCUUGGAGAACGUAUCUGCACUUGACUGUGUGGUGCGGUAUCCAGGACUUUUACUUUGAGGAAAUUAGAGUGUUUCAAGCAGGCACACGCCUUGAAUACAUUAGCAUGGAAUAAUAAGAUAGGACCUCGGUUCUAUUUUGUUGGUUUCUAGAGCUGAGGUAAUGAUUAAUAGGGACAGUCGGGGGCAUUUGUAUUCAAACGACAGAGGUGAAAUUCUUGGACCGUUUGAAGACAAACUACUGCGAAAGCAUUUGCCAAGAAUGUUUUCAUCA
Molecule: ribosomal RNA, 389 nt
Filed under: Takayama sp.
Lineage: Eukaryota; Dinophyceae; Gymnodiniales; Kareniaceae
Description: partial small subunit ribosomal RNA
Rfam family: Eukaryotic small subunit ribosomal RNA
Source: RNAcentral